UAAAAAUUAGUUAAUUUAUAACAUAGGUUUGUCAAACCUAAGUUAUCAGACUAAUUCUGAUAUUUUUAA
RNAcentral lists this transfer RNA (69 nucleotides) under Paratya australiensis. RNAcentral's name for it is "tRNA-Asp". Lineage: Eukaryota; Metazoa; Arthropoda; Malacostraca; Decapoda; Atyidae. The record is from RNAcentral.